GUAUGCGAUAUGCGCCUUGGUUCCGGGCCAGAUGUCCGGAGAAUAGGGAACGCGGUGCAAAUCCGCGACUGCCCCCGCAACUGUGAGCGGCGAGCGUCAUCGGUAUCAUGCCACUGGGCGAGCAGGCCCGGGAAGGCCCGACCGGCGCUGUGACCCGCAAGUCAGGAGACCUGCCAGGGUGAUCACCCUCCC
RNAcentral lists this non-coding RNA (192 nucleotides) under Salipiger abyssi. Lineage: Bacteria; Pseudomonadati; Pseudomonadota; Alphaproteobacteria; Rhodobacterales; Roseobacteraceae. The record is from RNAcentral.